GCUGCCAUAAGAAAAUGCACUGAUAUGGAACGUUUUGAGCUAGGCUCUGUUUCCAAGUGGGAACCAAUUUUAGUUUUUGUGUUAGCGGUUCCUUUUUGAGAGUUACACAAGGGCGAGAGUGUCUGAUUUUGAGCCACGGGGUGGCAACGUUUUCCGUUUGCAUAAGCAAGUGAUGAAGAAUGCAAGGAAUGCUUAUUUUGUUUCUUUUCUGAUAGCAUUUUUGUUUAUUGGUGAAACCAGAGUUUUGAAGACCUGUAUUGUCAAGAUUUACGUUUUUCUUCGUUUUCUCCCUCGAGCAAAUGCGGCAAUGAGUUCUCACGGCAUGUGUGUGGAGAAGGAGUUGAAUAAAUGCCCGUUUUGAAGAACUGCUUGUACGCCUGAUUGACAAGAGGGAGCUACAGUGAGAACUCAACCAGCCCGGCGCCAGAACAAGACGGUGUUCGGCAGAGCUACAAGCAAGUCACUUCACUCACCUCUUCCAUCGGACAGAUAAGAGACUGUACAUUCAUCUGCCUACACAAGUAGCUACCUGAGUCCAGAGAGCUUUGGGUGCCAGUCAACAAUAAGUAAACAUUUGAACAAGUUAAAUGUUUAAAGGUGGACUAGCCUCAAUUGCUGUAAAGGGACCUACAAGUGCUAAAUUGUGCAAUGUUAUGGUGAUGUGUGCAUGUUGUAAGGUUUAAGUGCUUGCUUAUUUGCACCUAGUAAUGUCUGAUUGAGGUGUGAACGACCAUUCAUAGCAUUUGAAAACAAGUUCAUUUGCGAACAUUUAAAGGUGUAGAACAACAUUUAAGUGAUUAAGUCAUUGCAAUGAAAAUUAAGUUUAUUGUACAUUUAGUCAAUAUAUUAGACAGGUUGGUUGAUAAAGUAAAUUACAGGAGUCAGUAGUAAUUCAAGAUAGCCUACUGUAGUCAAGUGAUAAAACUAUAACAUCAUUACAUUAG
This is a long non-coding RNA of Syngnathus acus (greater pipefish), 944 nucleotides long. RefSeq lists it as uncharacterized. The record is from RefSeq and is a predicted model, not a curated record. The transcript is spliced from 2 exons. NCBI's taxonomy places the organism in Eukaryota, Metazoa, Chordata, Actinopteri, Syngnathiformes, Syngnathidae.